This is an RNA transcript of Otolemur garnettii (small-eared galago), 2249 nucleotides long. It is a transcript of the gene named protein SDA1 homolog, with no coding region annotated. Lineage: Eukaryota; Metazoa; Chordata; Mammalia; Primates; Galagidae. The transcript has 2 exons. The record is from RefSeq and is a predicted model, not a curated record.
AAGAGAGAAACUUCAGAAGAGUCUUUGCUUUGUUACAGACUGCUACCCAGAAUAUCUAAGUAACUUUCCUCAAGAGCUGAAAGAUCUUCUCUCCUAUAAUCACACCUUCCUGGAUCCAGAUCUUCGAAUGACAUUUUGCAAAGCUUUGAUCUUGCCGAGAAAUAAAAACCUCAUCAGUCAAGUUUAUUAGAACUCUUCUUUGAACUUCUUUGUUGCCAUGGUAAGCUUCUGCAAAAGACUUUAUAUACACAUAUUGUGACUGAUAUCAAAAAUAGAAAUGCAAAACACAAGAACAAUAAAGUGAAUGUAGUGUUGCAGAAUUUCAUGUAUACCAUGUUAAGAGAGAACAGUGCAACUACUGCCAAGAUGUCUUUGGAUGUGAUGGUUGAACUCUAUAGGAGGAACAUCUGGAAUGAUGCCAAAACUGUGAAUGUUAUCACAACUGCAUGCUUCUCUACGGUCACUAAGAUACUAGUUGCUGCUUUGACAUUCUUUCUUGGGAAGGAUGAAGAUGAGAAACAGGACGGUGACUCGGAAUCUGAGGAUGAAGGACCAGCAGCAAGAGACCUCCUGGUGCAGUAUGCUACAGGGAAGAAGAGUUCUAACAGCAAGAAGAGGUUGGAAAAGGCAAUGAAAGUCCUAAAGAAACAAAAGAAGAAAAAUCCAGAAGUGUUUAAUUUUUCAACGAUUCACUUAAUUCAUGAUCCCCAAGAUUUUGCAGAAAAACUACUAAAGCAGCUCGAGAGCUCCAAGGAGAGGUUUGAAGUGAAGAUAAUGCUCAUGAUUAGUAGGGAUUCAUGAGCUUUUCCUUUCAACUUCUAUCCUUUUGUGCAAAGAUUUCUGCAGCCCCACCAAAGAGAAGCAACAAAGAUUCUCUUUGUUGCACAAGCAUCUCAUCACCCCCAAAGAUCAUUCAUUCACUGCUCAUGACAGUGGCCAACAAUUUUGUUACUGACAAGAACUCUGGGGAAGUCACGACUGUAGGAAUCAAUGCUAUAAAAGAUAUAACAGCUCAAUGUCCUCUAGCCAUGACUGAGGAGCUUCUUCAAGACGUGGCUCAGUAUAAAACACACAAAGAUAAGAAUGUAAUGAUGUCUGCUAGAACUUUGAUUCAGCUCUUCAGAUCGCUGAAUCCUCAGCUGCUGCAGAAGAAAUUCCGGGGCAAGCCUACAGAGGCAGCCAUAGAAGCAAGAGUACAAGAAUAUGGAGAAUUAGAUGCUGAAGAUUACAUUCCAGGAGCAGAAGUUCUGGAAGUUGAGAAAGAAGAGAAUGCUGAAAAUGAUGAAGACAGUUGGGAAAGUGCCAGUCUCAGUGAGGACAAGGAGGAGGCAGAUGGGGAAUGGGUUGAUGUGCACCACUCUUCUGAUGAAGAACAGCAAGAAAUUUCCAGGAAGCUGGACAGCAUGCCGAGGGAGGAGCCGAGAGCCAAAGCUGCAGCCAUCAGCACUAGUCGAGUUUUAACUCAGGAAGACUUUCAGAAAAUCCACCUGGCCCAGAUGAAGAAAGAGCUUGAUGCUGCCCCGGGAAAUCCCAGAAGAGGAAAUAUAUUGAAAUAGACAGUGAUGAGGAACCAGGGGCGAAUUACUUUCUCUUCAGGACAUUGAACACCUUCAUAAAAAGCCAAAAUCUGAUAAGGAGACAAGAUUGGCAACUGCAGUGGCUGGAAAGACAGAUUGGAAGGAAUCUGUAAGGAAGAAAACAAAAAUAAAUCCAUUUUCCAGUUCCACAAAUGAAGAGAAGAAAAACAGAAGAACUUUAUGGUGAUGCCGUAUAGUCGGAACAUGGGUCAAAAAAUAAGUGUUCCUUCCAAGAAAAGCAGCUGGCGGAUGCACUUUUGAAAAAGAAAAAGAAUGAAGUUACUUCUAAGCAAGUUUCCAUUCCGAGGAAAAUGCUAAGUUUGUGUCAUUACUUUGAGAAUUAGUAAAUCAAGCAUGUUUGUUUACAUUAAAAAGUACAGAAGGCCUAUGUUGUGAAAACCAUAGUAAAUGUGGCAUCAGUUGGGGGUUUUGUUUGGGAAAUGGGUAACAGUAGGAGUGUUAAAGAUGGAAAUAGCAAUGGUGUUGUAACAUCAUUUGGCGUUUGUGCUUAAAAGUUGAGUGUCAAUGUGUUGUCAGUGUAGAUACAAAAUGAAUGGGUCAUAACCCUUCCUCAAGGCAACUACUGCCUAGUGGGGGCAGGUGUGUGUGUGUUUACAGUGCAGGGUAAAUUGUCCUCUAGCAGAGCUAGGUCCAUAUUUCUGUGGAACCACU